GAUGAACGCUGGCGGCGUGCUUAACACAUGCAAGUCGAACGGACAGGCUCCUGCUUGCAGGGGUACUCGUGUGGCGAACGGGUGAGUAACACGUGGGUGAUCUGCCCUGCACUUCGGGAUAAGCCUGGGAAACUGGGUCUAAUAUCGGAUAGGACCACUUUUUGGAUGUUGUGGUGGAAAGAUUUACGGUGUGGGAUGAGCUCGCGGCCUAUCAGCUUGUUGGUGGGGUAAUGGCCUACCAAGGCGUCGACGGGUAGCCGGCCUGAGAAGGUGUACGGCCACAUGAGGACUAAGGGACGGCCCAGACUCCUACGGGCGGCAGCAGUGGAGAGUAUUACACAAUAGGCGCAAGCCUGAUGCGGCGGCGCCGCGUGGGGGAUGACGUCCUUCGGGUUAUAAACUCCUGUCGCUGGAGACGAAGCGCAAGUGACGGUACCUAGAGAAGAAGCACCGGCUAACUACGUG
This 465-nucleotide ribosomal RNA is filed under the name uncultured bacterium. RNAcentral describes it as "partial 16S ribosomal RNA". It matches the Rfam family "Bacterial small subunit ribosomal RNA", at positions 28 to 507 of the family's 1533-position model. The record is from RNAcentral.